RNAcentral lists this transfer RNA (97 nucleotides) under Clostridium botulinum. RNAcentral describes it as "tRNA-Ser". It matches the Rfam family "tRNA". Rfam says of the family: Transfer RNA (tRNA) molecules are approximately 80 nucleotides in length. The record is from RNAcentral. Lineage: Bacteria; Bacillati; Bacillota; Clostridia; Eubacteriales; Clostridiaceae.
GGAGGUAUAAGCCUAAUGGUAAGGCAGUAGUUUGCUAAACUAUGAGUAGUCGGUAUUUUAUAUUGAUGUGCAGGUUCAAGUCCUGUUGCCUCCGCCA